Molecule: ribosomal RNA, 1367 nt
Filed under: metagenome
Description: bacterial SSU rRNA
Rfam family: Bacterial small subunit ribosomal RNA (bases 352-1367)
Source: RNAcentral
UGUGAUCUACCCUUGGUCAGGAUGAAGCCUCGUUAACACGGGGUGGAGGUCCGAACUAGUAAACGUUGAAAAGUUUUUGGAUGAACUGAGGGUAGGGGUGAAAGGCUAAUCAAACUGGGAAAUAGCUCGUACUCCCCGAAAUGCCUUUAGGGGCAGCGUGAGGGUUGAGUUUGUUAGAGGUAGAGCUACCAAUUGGACUAGGGGGAGUCAAAUCCUACCAAAUCCAGAUGAACUCCGAAUGCUAACAAAUAUACCUUGCAGUGAGGGCGCGGGUGCUAAGGUCCGUGUCCGAGAGGGAAAGAACCCAGACCAACAGCUAAGGUCCCAAAAUCUACACUAAGUUGAACUAAGGCGGUUCAGUUGCUUAGACAGCCAGGAUGUUUGCUUGGAAGCAGCAAUUCAUUUAAAGAGUGCGUAACAGCUCACUGGUCGAGCGACAGAGCAUCGAUAAUAAUCGGGCAUCAAGUGUAGUACCGAAGCUAUGGAUAUAUCUCGCAAGAGAUCUGUGGUAGGGGAGAUCGGAAUUCCUGGUGUAGCGGUGAAAUGCGCAGAUAUCAGGAGGAACACCGGUGGCGAAGGCGGAUCUCUGGGCCAUUACUGACGCUGAGGAGCGAAAGCGUGGGGAGCGAACAGGAUUAGAUACCCUGGUAGUCCACGCCGUAAACGUUGGGAACUAGGUGUUGGCGACAUUCCACGUCGUCGGUGCCGCAGCUAACGCAUUAAGUUCCCCGCCUGGGGAGUACGGCCGCAAGGCUAAAACUCAAAGGAAUUGACGGGGGCCCGCACAAGCAGCGGAGCAUGUGGCUUAAUUCGACGCAACGCGAAGAACCUUACCAAGGCUUGACAUACAUCAGAAAGCUCUGGAGACAGAGCCCCCCUUGUGGCUGGUGUACAGGUGGUGCAUGGCUGUCGUCAGCUCGUGUCGUGAGAUGUUGGGUCAAGUCCCGCAACGAGCGCAACCCCUGUUCUGUGUUGCCAGCAUGCCUUUCGGGGUGAUGGGGACUCACAGGAGACCGCCGGGGUCAACUCGGAGGAAUGUGGGGACGACGUCAAGUCAUCAUGCCCCUUAUGUCUUGGGCUGCACACGUGCUACAAUGGCCGGUACAAUGAGCUGCGAUGCCGUGAGGUGGAGCGAAUCUCAAAAAGCCGGUCUCAGUUCGGAUUGGGGUCUGCAACUCGACCCCAUGAAGUCGGAGUUGCUAGUAAUCGCAGAUCAGCAUUGCUGCGGUGAAUACGUUCCCGGGCCUUGUACACACCGCCCGUCACGUCACGAAAGUCGGUAACACACGAAGCCGGUGGCCCAACCCCUUGUGGGAGGGAGUCGUCGAAGGUGGGACUGGCGAUUGGGACGAAGUCGUAACAAGGUA